GAUGAACGCUGGCGGCGUGCCUAAUACAUGCAAGUCGAGCGAACGGACGAGAAGCUUGCUUCUCUGAUGUUAGCGGCGGACGGGUGAGUAACACGUGGAUAACCUACCUAUAAGACUGGGAUAACUUCGGGAAACCGGAUCUAAUACCGGAUGAUAUUUUGAACCGCAUGGUUCAAAAGUGAAAGACGGUCUUUCUGUCACUUAUAGAUGGAUCCGCACUGCAUUAGCUAGUUGGUAAGGUAACGGCUUACCAAGGCAACGAUGCAUAGCCGACCUGAGAGGGUGAUCGGCCACACUGGCACUGAGACACGGUCCAGACUCCUACGGGAGGCAGCAGUAGGGAAUCUUACGCAAAGGGCGAAAGCCUGACGGAGCAACGCCGCGUGAGUGAUGAAGGUCUUCGGAUCGUAAAACUCUGUUAUUAGGGAAGAACAUAUGUGUAAGUAACUGUGAACAUAUUGACGGUACCUAAUCAGAAAGCCACGGCUAACUACGUG
This 497-nucleotide ribosomal RNA is filed under the name uncultured bacterium. Its description in RNAcentral is "partial 16S ribosomal RNA". It matches the Rfam family "Bacterial small subunit ribosomal RNA", at positions 28 to 507 of the family's 1533-position model. The record is from RNAcentral.